Molecule: non-coding RNA, 126 nt
Organism: Triticum aestivum (bread wheat)
Lineage: Eukaryota; Viridiplantae; Streptophyta; Magnoliopsida; Poales; Poaceae
Source: Rfam
UUCAUACUUCCUCCGUUUGGAAAAGUUUGUUCCAUAAAUAGAUGUAUUUAGCAUAAAAUUAGUGCUAGAUACAUUUAGUUAAAAGACAAAAUUGAGACAAGCUUUUCCGGACGGAGGAAGUAUUUU